Molecule: long non-coding RNA, 984 nt
Organism: Peromyscus maniculatus bairdii (prairie deer mouse)
Lineage: Eukaryota; Metazoa; Chordata; Mammalia; Rodentia; Cricetidae
Source: RefSeq, a predicted model, not a curated record
UUAACAAAGGAAAGCAUGGCCACAUGGUUGAAUCAGGGCUUGGUGAGGCUGGGAAGGGGUCGGACAAGGGGGCUAAUGUCCACCCCGGGUGUCUGAGGCAGUGCCCCGAGUCCAUUCCCAUUGUGACAUAGAACCUGUCCUCCAUCCAAUAGCAACAGCAGGGAGCAAUUGUUAAUUCACAGGGCGGGGUCGAGGUAUCCAGACGGGGCUGGACACAGGACUGGACCCGGACCGCUGCUUCUGCCUUCUCAUAAUGACCCCCUCUAAAGUUGCUUUAUGGAGGGUGGACAACAUGUCCUGAGAUCCAUGAGACAGGAUUUGUCAUCUUGGUCACAACAGUGAUACAGUGUCUGAUGGGGUCUGAAUCUCAACCAAGUUCCCAAUCAAAGCCAUUAGGGUUCUAAUUGCACAGCAGAGCCUGAUCUUGUCAUUUCCAUCAAAGUCCCUUUCAGAUGAUUAAUGAGUUUGUGGGGAAGAAAGAAAAGAUGGAGAUUGUACUGGCAGUUUGCCAGCGAUAUCUGAAAAGGUAAAUUAUGCCAGACUUUCUGCCGAGUGGAAACUCAGUCUGCCGAAGGACAGCACAGUUGACGGCUGGGCUCGGAGCGCGAGCAGGAUGUUCUGAUCAGCCCCAAAAUGGAUCAGCACUUGUGACCCACACAAUCAGAGCCUAAUGCCUUUCAGAAUUGGAAAAGCUAUCUUCUGGGUAUUUAUUUUAUAGACACAUUAAUGGGAAAACUUCUUUCACCUUCUUGAAAAUACGCUAUUUUGUCAGAAAUUGAGAACUGAUUUUGACCAUCACUAAUCUGCCCACUUGUACCACAGAGCAACGGACAACAUUUUGCCCAGUUCAAACCAGUGACAGCAGGGAGCAAAAAUCAUUAAAAUUCUGGGUUUAAGACUAUCCCAUAAUUGAUCUCAAUCCUGCUGCCAAAAUAUUGCUUGUGUUAUAACUAUUUCAAGAAUAAAUCAGCGAUUUGUCCUUUU